Molecule: ribosomal RNA, 253 nt
Filed under: uncultured bacterium
Lineage: Bacteria
Description: partial 16S ribosomal RNA
Rfam family: Bacterial small subunit ribosomal RNA
Source: RNAcentral
UACGGGGGGGGCAAGCGUUGUUCGGAAUUACUGGGCGUAAAGGGCUCGUAGGCGGCCAACUAAGUCAGACGUGAAAUCUCCGGGCUCAACCUGGGAACUGCAUUUGUGACUGCAUCGCUGGAGUGCGGCAGAGGGGGAUGGAAUUCCGCGUGUAGCAGUGAAAUGCGUAGAUAUUGGGAAGAACACCGGUGGCGCAAGCGACUUGCUGGGCCAUAACUGACACUGAGGAACGAAAGCUAGGGGAGCGAAUGGG